Molecule: ribosomal RNA, 472 nt
Filed under: uncultured Syntrophaceae bacterium
Lineage: Bacteria; Pseudomonadati; Thermodesulfobacteriota; Syntrophia; Syntrophales; Syntrophaceae
Description: bacterial SSU rRNA
Rfam family: Bacterial small subunit ribosomal RNA
Source: RNAcentral
AGGCCUACGGGUGGCAGCAGUGAGGAAUCUUGCGCAAUGGGGGAAACCCUGACGCAGCAACGCCGCGUGAGUGAGGAAGGUCUUCGGGUCGUAAAGCUCUGUCAGGCGGGAAGAAAUGCAUGGAGGUGAACAGCCGCCAUGCUUGACGGUACCGCCAGAGGAAGCACCGGCUAACUCCGUGCCAGCAGCCGCGGUAAUACGGGGGGUGCAAGCGUUGUUCGGAAUCAUUGGGCGUAAAGAGCGUGUAGGCGGCUUGGUAAGUCAGAUGUGAAAGCCCUGGGCUCAACCCGGGAAGUGCAUUUGAAACUGUCAGGCUCGAGUAGGGGAGAGGGAAGUGGAAUUCCUGGUGUAGAGGUGAAAUUCGUAGAUAUCAGGAGGAACACCGGUGGCGAAGGCGACUUCCUGGCCCUAUACUGACGCUGAGACGCGAGAGCGUGGGUAGCAAACAGGAUUAGAUACCCGGGUAGUCUUG